GGGCACAUGGUGUAGAUGGUUAUCACGCCCGCUUAGCAUAGUACCCCUAUCUUCUUCACGUCUGCGGGCGGUCCCCGGUUCAAGUCCGGGUGUGUCCA
Molecule: non-coding RNA, 98 nt
Organism: Tricholoma furcatifolium
Lineage: Eukaryota; Fungi; Basidiomycota; Agaricomycetes; Agaricales; Tricholomataceae
Source: the annotation of a GenBank genome assembly